RNAcentral lists this ribosomal RNA (402 nucleotides) under Pseudomonas aeruginosa. RNAcentral describes it as "partial 23S ribosomal RNA". It matches the Rfam family "Bacterial large subunit ribosomal RNA", at positions 2543 to 2925 of the family's 2925-position model. Lineage: Bacteria; Pseudomonadati; Pseudomonadota; Gammaproteobacteria; Pseudomonadales; Pseudomonadaceae. The record is from RNAcentral.
CAUCCUGGGGCUGAAGCCGGUCCCAAGGGUAUGGCUGUUCGCCAUUUAAAGUGGUACGCGAGCUGGGUUUAGAACGUCGUGAGACAGUUCGGUCCCUAUCUGCCGUGGACGUUUGAGAUUUGAGAGGGGCUGCUCCUAGUACGAGAGGACCGGAGUGGACGAACCUCUGGUGUUCCGGUUGUCACGCCAGUGGCAUUGCCGGGUAGCUAUGUUCGGAAAAGAUAACCGCUGAAAGCAUCUAAGCGGGAAACUUGCCUCAAGAUGAGAUCUCACUGGGAACUUGAUUCCCCUGAAGGGCCGUCGAAGACUACGACGUUGAUAGGCUGGGUGUGUAAGCGUUGUGAGGCGUUGAGCUAACCAGUACUAAUUGCCCGUGAGGCUUGACCAUAUAACACCCAAACA